This 439-nucleotide ribosomal RNA is filed under the name uncultured bacterium. RNAcentral's name for it is "partial 16S ribosomal RNA". It matches the Rfam family "Bacterial small subunit ribosomal RNA", at positions 339 to 795 of the family's 1533-position model. The record is from RNAcentral.
CUACGGGCCGCAGCAGUGGGGAAUAUUGCACAAUGGAGGAAACUCUGAUGCAGCAACGCCGCGUGGAGGAUGACACUUUUCGGAGCGUAAACUCCUUUUAUAUAGGAAGAAGAUGACGGUACUAUAUGAAUAAGCGCCGGCUAACUCCGUGCCAGCAGCCGCGGUAAUACGGAGGGCGCAAGCGUUACUCGGAAUCACUGGGCGUAAAGAGCGUGUAGGCGGAUUAAAAAGUCAGAAGUGAAAUCCUAUAGCUUAACUAUAGAACUGCUUCUGAAACUCUUAAUCUAGAAUGUGGGAGAGGUAGAUGGAAUUUCUGGUGUAGGGGUAAAAUCCGUAGAGAUCAGAAGGAAUACCGAUUGCGAAGGCGAUCUACUAGAACAUUAUUGACGCUGAGACGCGAAAGCGUGGGGAGCAAGCAGGAUUAGAUACCCCCGUAGUC